This is an RNA transcript of Onychostoma macrolepis, 5538 nucleotides long. It is a transcript of the gene named syntaxin-10-like, with no coding region annotated. The transcript has 8 exons. The record is from RefSeq and is a predicted model, not a curated record. NCBI's taxonomy places the organism in Eukaryota, Metazoa, Chordata, Actinopteri, Cypriniformes, Cyprinidae.
AAAAAAAAAAAAAAAACUAACACUAGCUUCUCUAUUCUUUUUGUAUUCUAUCUAUUUGUUUUCUUUUUAUUUAUUAUACGAUUGUGGCCCUGGACCACAAAACCAGUCUUAAGUCGCUGGGGUAUAUUUAUAGCAAUAGCCAAAAAUACAUUGUAUGGGUCAAAAUGAUAAUUUUUCUUUUAUGCCAAAAAUCAUUAGAAUAUUAAGUAAAGAUCAUGUUCCAUGAAGAUAGUUUGUAAAUUUCUUACCGUAAAUGUAUAAAAACGUCAUUUUUGAUUAGUAAUAUGCAUUGCUAAGAACUUCAUUUGGGCAACUUCAAAGGCGAUUUUCUCAAUAUUUUGAUUUUUUUGCACCCUCAGAUUCCAGAUUUUCAAAUAGUUGUAUUUCGGCCAAAUAUUGUCCGAUCAUAACAAACCAUACAUCAAUGGAAAGCUUAUUUAUUCAGCUUUCAGAUGAAUAAAUCUCAACAAGCCUCUAACACUAGCUUGCUCUAUACUUUUUCUAUUCUAUCUGUUUUCUUUUUAUUUAGCCUAUUAUAUAAUUAAAAACUUGCUUUGUGCUGCAUUAGGCUAACUGAGACUUGUCAUAGCACUUGCAUAUCAUUGCUCUUUUGUUGAUUUUGCAUGGUCCUCAUUUGUAAGUCGCUUUGAAGCAUCUGCUAAAUGUAAAUAUUAAUAUGCUAUUUGUGUAGCUGCAGCCUAUUAACACAAAUUCCUUAUUUUGUUUAAGCAUACUUAGAAAAAAAUCUCAUUCUGAUUAUUUUGAUUUAUUGCUCAGGGUGAUAGCAGUCUUGCUUGUGAAUGUGUGUUUAUAGAGAGAAACAGAUGAUUUUAUUAAAACACUAUGGCAUUACAUUUGCCUAAAAAUAUGUUUUGUAAACAGAAUGACUCAUCAGGCCGACCUUAAAGCCACUGCUUGUAAAAAUAGCUCCCUCAUUAUGUUCUCUGACAAACUGCAUUCCAUGUGAUCAGGCCUCCAAUUAGAUCCACCCUUCAUUUCCAUAAGCAUUCUUAGCAGCUGCGAUCACAAGCACACACUGGUUUCACUAUAUUAAUGAGGACACCUCACAGACCCAGUGGUUUUCAUUCGCACGUAAUGCUAUUUGCUAAACCUCAACCCUAACCAUCAAAUUAACCUGUUGACAUUAUUAUAUAGGCAAAACAGUUUUAAACAUAUUUAUGAUUCUUUCAAAUAGUCAGUCCCAUUUCAGAUCACUUUUCAUUUGUGAGGACAAAAAUGUGGCCUUGACAACUACAGCCAGCCUUUUAACUGGAGGUGCAGAGUGUGUGAAUAUCUGUGUGUGUGCACAGGAAACACAGAGUGUGGUGAGGGAGGAAGGCAGGAGACAGGAAGGAAGCAGUGACUGUGUGAGGUGGGGGAGGAAGUGAAGGAGAAUAGUGUUACUAAAAGUAAAGGAAGGAGAGGCGACCAGGCGACAGGGAUUUAAGCCUCUAGCUGGCAUGAAAAGACAAAUGGGAAUCCUUUAAAUGGUUUAACACACCACACCUAUCGCAAAACUUCAUGUCACACACCAACUUGUCUUUAGCUUGGCAUGUUUAAUGCCUUGAGCAGAAAGCAAAUCUAGGCCAGUUACCUAACCGAAUUAAUUAUGAAUCAGGUCAGGACUGCGGCAAAGGUGUUCUAACAGCCCUUUUAUGGAAAUGAGUGACAAACAAUGCUAAAAAUAUGACAUUUCUACUUCCUGAGAGACUUACUGAUUAGGUAAUGCAUCAUGAAACUGAUUUAAAUAUGAACUGUUUUGUUUUCUCAACAAAGCAAUUACAAACUUCACAUUGUUUCUCUACAAAAUUAGAGAUUAUUAUUUACACGUUGUUAUUGUUAGUUUGGACUAACAAGGUACUUAGAGUGAUUGCAUUCCUUUUAUGUACAAGAAAUGUGUUGGUGCUCAUGCAUUAAGGUGAUUAUGUUUUUAAGGUUUAGAGAUAAAUAUUUUCUGUAACAAUAACAAUGGGACCGUUAGAUAUAAAGCCCAUAGUUUGAAUAGAAAUAUGCAAUAGAAAAUUGAUAUAUUGCCUUUUUGCUCAGUCACAGCUUCUUUAGUAUCACAAUUUGCUUUAGUAUAAUAGCUCAUAAAAUAUAACAAGUACAUAUGUGCUGGUGAAUUACUGACUAUGAAUGCAAUUAAAUGCAGACAUGUUUAUUUAACAAAUUACUAAUAAUAAGGCAACUGGGUUGUUUAAAAAGGCCAUUUUACUAACACUUUAUGUUAUGGUGACUUUAUUACAUUUUACAUUUACUUAGGCUACCAUAGCAACAAUUAUUAUGCAUAAUUACAAGCAUAAACUGAACCCUAACAUUAACCCAACAGUAAGUGCAAGUUGUUAACUAAUAUUACUCAUUACAUAUUUGUGUAAUAACACUGUAACAUGAACACAGUGACUUUAUUACAUUUUACAUUUACUUAGGCUACUAUAGCAACAAUUAUUCAUUUCAUUAUCCGUCAUUAUGCAUAAUUACAAGCAUAAACUGAACCCUAACAUUAACCCAACAGUAAGUACAAGUUGCUAACUAAUAUUACUCAUUACAUAUUUAUGUAAUAACACUGUAACAAGAACACCUCAAAAAGUGCGCUCACGUAUUUUAAUUAAAAAAGCUAAAAUGUAAUGCUAUAUUUGUAAUAAGAGCAUUCAAAGUAACUUACAUAGUACAUACUUUCAAAGUAAAAAUGUUAACAAUAAAUGAAUUAAUAUACUGUAUAUAUAGUAAAUAUCUGAUAUAGUUGUAGAACAUGUUUGUUUUAUUUCUCAACUGUCAAUGAUACCUACACUAGUACACUGUAAAAAGUGAUGAGUUGACUUAACUUAAAAAAAUUGAGGAAACCAGUUAUAAUAAUAAUUUUUUUUUUUUUUAAAGUUAUGUGAACUUGACAAUUCACUUAACUUAUUUUUGUAAUUAUAAUUUACUUUAAAAUUUUAAGGCAACGGGUUUCCUCAAUUUUUUUUAAGUUAAGUCAACAUCACUUUUUACAGUGUAUAUACGUUGGAACCAGAGUUGCGCUUAUGGACUUUUAUUUUGAAAACUAGUACGUGCGUGCUUGUUUUACACAAGCCAUCUUGCAGUUGACUUCACAUAGCUCCUGAACCAAAGGGGCUAAUAUGUCGAUGGAGGAUCCUUUUUUCGUGGUUAAAGGGGAGGUGCAGAAGGCCCUGUCCAAAGCACAGGGGCUGUUUGAGCGCUGGGAGGAACUGCUGCAGGAAGAGACCCCCGUCAGCCGGGAUGAGCUGGACUGGAGCACCAAUGAACUCCGAAACUGCCUGAGAGCCAUCGACUGGGACUUAGAGGACCUGCAUGAAACCAUCAGUAUUGUGGAGACAAACCCUGGAAAGUUCCGUUUAGGAGAACAUGAACUCCAGGAAAGGCGGGAAUUUGUGGAACGAACUCGUAAAUCCGUGCAGCUGAUGAAGGAGCAGCUCUCUAGUCCCUCAGCUGUGGCUCAAGCAGAGAAGAAAAACAAACAGGCUCUGCUGGGGGCCACGGCAAAGGAUCGUUACGCCGGGCUGGAGCCUCACCUGGUGUCUGCAAACUCCAGAUACAUUCAGGAGCAACAGGAACAGCAGCAGCUGAUCAUGCAGGACCAGGAUGAGCAUUUGGAGCUGGUCACAGGCAGCAUCCGUGUCCUGAAGGACAUGUCCAGCAGGAUAGGAGAUGAGCUGGAUGAUCAGGCAGUGAUUUGUUUUAUGCUCAAUGUCAAAUUGUCCCAGUAUGCUCAGUGAGUUUAAUGAGGAAAUGGACCAGACCGGUUCCAGAAUGGACUCAGUGUUGAAGAAAAUGGAGAAGGUUUCACACAUGACCAGCAGUCGGAGACAGUGGUGCGCUAUUGGAAUUCUUGUAAUCAUACUGAUCGUGGUGCUCAUUCUGUUAUUCGCUCUUUAAACCAGACUCUUCUUCAGUUUGGCCCUCCAUCAUGCCAAAAGCUUUCAGAGGAAGUCAGAAUUUCACCAUGAUUCUUCCACGUCAGCUUCCGUUAUCUUUGUGAGAAAGAGUUUGUUAUUUUUGUAGUCUUUUAUAGUCUGUCUUUUUGCCUUCAUCUAACCCAUAUGUCUUCUGACUCUCAGCAUUUCACUCUCUUACUGCUUUUGGAUUGGACUCGUUGUCCUUGGCAAGGUCUAUUCCAGAAUUUCACUGGUGCCGAGUUUGAAGUUAACAGUUAUUGCAUUUGUGUUUUAUUGUGGUACAAGUGUAAGUGGGGAUGAGGAAUUUGAUAUUGCCUUAUUAUAUUUUUAUAUGUUUAAUUAUUAAACAGUACAGUAAUUGUGUGCAUUAUAAAUGCCCCUGAAAAUGGUUGACAUUACAUGUGCUAAUGGUUCACCAAGCACUAAUGAGUAAAGCAGGCUCAUAGCGCCCCCUAGAUCUGUAACUGGCAGUACCACCAUCAAACAACCUCUGAUGUGCUCUGGAAAUUCAAAAGUAAAUUAUGGCAAGGAAUAUAGGAUUAUUUAAAUUAUGUUUUUAAAGCAAAGUCACACCUUGAGGUUAACAUAGGCAUUUUAUUACACCAUUUGCUCUUCCUUUAUGGAUAAAUCUAACAUUUUAUUGCAUCAUUUGAGUGAGCUUAUGGAUGAUUGUUUGCAGAGAAAAUCAUUGCACUUUUCAUGAAUCUUCAUGGAUGUGCUGUGUGUACAGUAAGUACUUGGGUUUCCCAUAUUUUAACAUAUGAUUUUAGGCAUUGCUUUUGAGAUUACUGUAUAUUGAACUGUAAAGUUUCACACUACUGUGGAGAUGUGUGUAGAGUCUGACAUAUAGACAGUUGAUGGUGUGGGUUAUGCCUUCACUGCAUGCCACAGUGAUAUUCCAUACCCAUUAGUCCAAUACAUAUAUAAUAUAUAUUUGUCAUUUUAAUAUUUUUUUAAAGGAAAUUGCUCUUUUUAAUUGCAAUCCAACUCAGCAAGAUGCAUGUUCUUAAAGUCAGCUAAUAACUGAGCUGAUUAGACCCCACAGUUAGGAUCAUUACUUGAUAUUUCUAUUCCUGAACUUGAGCUCAGAUCUAAUAUUGUGCUCAUCUGUGGGUGUGCUAAUGAAAAUUUUGUACUCAGAUCUCUGUGCCAAUGAGUUGCUUCCAGUGUGCCCUCUGAUCUGGGUGUAAGGAAUCUGGGUGAAUGUAUUAUCUUUCAGCUUCAACUGAAUAUGACUGAAUAUUUCAGUAUUGCUUUGUCUAUUAUAAUUUUGUAAUAUGAUAGAAAUAAACCCGUAAAUAGCUGAAAGUCAGAUUCAACUCCAAGCAUAAGAUUUUUGAAAAAUGCAAGCCUUAAAAAAUGCCAAUACUCACUGUUGCUCAAAAUGUGGAACAAAGUACUAAAACGUAAUACCUCUUAUAUGCCCAUUUAGGGAAAUUUGGUACGUAUUUGAUUUUCUUUUACUUGCAAAUGUCUUUCAGUGCUGCCUACAUAAAUGAUUGUUUGAAAAAUCUAAUGCCCUUGUCACUUGUUUUUGUAAGCAUUUGUAUUAUAUAAAACUUUUGCCUUUAUUUUGGCAUCUUGAUAAAUCUAAAUGGUUCCUGAUUAAAGUAUAUGCCUUUGA